RNAcentral lists this unclassified non-coding RNA (253 nucleotides) under uncultured Acidimicrobiia bacterium. RNAcentral describes it as "contains 16S-23S intergenic spacer region". It matches the Rfam family "Bacterial small subunit ribosomal RNA", at positions 524 to 776 of the family's 1533-position model. The record is from RNAcentral. Lineage: Bacteria; Bacillati; Actinomycetota; Acidimicrobiia.
CACGUAGGCAUCAAGCGUUGUCCGGAUUUAUUGGGCGUAAAGAGCUCGUAGGCGGUUCAGUAAGUCGGGUGUGAAAACUCAGGGCUUAACCCUGAGACGCCACUCGAUACUGCUGGGCUAGAAUUCGGUAGGGGAGUGGGGAAUUCCUGGUGUAGCGGUGAAAUGCGCAGAUAUCAGGAGGAACACCGGUGGCGAAGGCGCCGCUCUGGGCCGAAACUGACGCUGAGGAGCGAAAGCGUGGGUAGCAAACAGG